ACCUGAUCACAACCCCAGGAGGAUCUCUGCCUCUCCCACUCAGUUACAUAUUGAAUCACAAAAGAGCAGACUCUCUCAAACUGGACCAACCAACAGCCUACAGAAGAGUUAUACCCAGAACUUCAAAAGAAAGAGACACACCACUGAAAAAACAUUAACAUCAGGGAUACAGGACAUAAGGACAGCUUUGGGAAUGCAAAUUCUAUUGGCAAAAUGAAUCAAUCACACAACAAAGAACUAUUUGCUGGAGUCUACAUUUAUCAUCUGACAAGCUGUCACUACGGAUUGGGUCAGGCUUGUAACACAGUAUCCAAAUGGUGAGGGGAAAAAUCCCUGUGGCUGCUGAAAUAGGGAGCAGUUCACCCAUUUAAAGUAGCCCUCAGUAGCUUGGGUCAACUAUUUAGUACUGCUGACACACAGCUGCAGAAACUUUUAAGUGAGAAAUUUGCAGUUUUGUACAUUCCAAAACUGUGCAUGCUAUGGACACAGUUCUUUGAGGACAAGCUAGAUGAAGCAGACCAAACGAAAUACUGCUGGGCUCUAAUACAGCCCUCUCAAAAAAAAAAAAAAAAAAAAAAAAAAAAAAAAAAAAAAAAAAAAAGCCCACAUUCAGGAACCUGAAAAAGGACUAAAACGAGGACACAAUGUCAGAAUAGAUACAGUGUUUGGAACACAGGAGAGCUGUCAUGCAGUCUGCACUUCAAUAAAUCGUGUAAAAAAAAACUCGCCACCUCUAUUUGCACAGAAUACUUUUCCUCCAGACACAUUGCUUUCAAGGUUUAGCUGUUCUUCAACCUCCCUUAAUGCAAGUCUAAAAUACAAAGUAUUGCUUCAAACAUGCCACACAUGAGAAUACACCCCAAAAAUUAGGUGUGCAUUUAAAAAAAAACAAAACCCCACAACCAUCAGCCCACCCCACUCCCAGCCCUGCUGAAAAAUCAUCAACUCCUAAAACCUUGUGAUCCUCAGAUAUACACCCUGUGGAUAAGACUGAAUGUAACAGAGAAAACAAGCACUAGCUGGAUUGCAGGAGCCCUGACCGGAACAGAAGUACUGCAGAAAGAAAAAGAAACCAACCAGUCAGCAGUUCCGAUACUGACUGUGAAGCCAUGUAA
Molecule: long non-coding RNA, 1115 nt
Organism: Pogoniulus pusillus (Red-fronted tinkerbird)
Lineage: Eukaryota; Metazoa; Chordata; Aves; Piciformes; Lybiidae
Exons: 3
Source: RefSeq, a predicted model, not a curated record